RNAcentral lists this ribosomal RNA (478 nucleotides) under uncultured bacterium. RNAcentral describes it as "partial 16S ribosomal RNA". It matches the Rfam family "Bacterial small subunit ribosomal RNA", at positions 28 to 523 of the family's 1533-position model. The record is from RNAcentral.
GACGAACGCUGGCGGCGUGCUUAACACAUGCAAGUCGAACGGUAAGGCCCUUCGGGGUACACGAGUGGCGAACGGGUGAGUAACACGUGGGUGAUCUGCCCUGCACUUCGGGAUAAGCCUGGGAAACUGGGUCUAAUACCGGAUAGGACCCUGGGAUGCAUGUCCUGGGGUGGAAAGCUUUUGCGGUGUGGGAUGGGCCCGCGGCCUAUCAGCUUGUUGGUGGGGUGAUGGCCUACCAAGGCGACGACGGGUAGCCGGCCUGAGAGGGUGACCGGCCACACUGGGACGGAGAUACGGCCCAGACUCCUACGGGAGGCAGCAGUGGGGAAUAUUGCACAAUGGGCGCAAGCCUGAUGCAGCGACGCCGCGUGAGGGAUGACGGCCUUCGGGCUGUAAACCUCUUUCAGCACCGACGAAGCGCAAGUGACGGUAGGUGCAGAAGAAGGACCGGCCAACUACGUGCCAGCAGCCGCAGUAA